This 469-nucleotide ribosomal RNA is filed under the name uncultured bacterium. RNAcentral describes it as "bacterial SSU rRNA". It matches the Rfam family "Bacterial small subunit ribosomal RNA", at positions 328 to 794 of the family's 1533-position model. The record is from RNAcentral.
AGGCCAGACUCCUACGGGAGGCAGCAGUGAGGAAUAUUGGUCAAUGGGCGAGAGCCUGAACCAGCCAAGUCGCGUGAAGGAUGACGGCCCUACGGGUUGUAAACUUCUUUUGUCAGGGAGUAAUUGAGUCCACGUGUGGUCUUAGCGAGAGUACCUGAAGAAAAAGCAUCGGCUAACUCCGUGCCAGCAGCCGCGGUAAUACGGAGGAUGCGAGCGUUAUCCGGAUUUAUUGGGUUUAAAGGGUGCGUAGGCGGGAUGCCAAGUCAGCGGUAAAAAUGCGGUGCUCAACGCCGUCGAGCCGUUGAAACUGGCGUUCUUGAGUGGGCGAGAAGUAUGCGGAAUGCGUGGUGUAGCGGUGAAAUGCAUAGAUAUCACGCAGAACUCCGAUUGCGAAGGCAGCAUACCGGCGCCCUACUGACGCUGAGGCACGAAAGCGUGGGUAUCGAACAGGAUUAGAUACCCCAGUAUU